GACGAACGCUGGCGGCGUGCUUAACACAUGCAAGUCGAUCGGAAAGGUCUUGUUUGCCGGGUUCUCGAGUGGCGAAGGGGUGAGUACGACGUGGGAGAUCUGCCCUGCACUUCGGGAUACACACGGGAACCUGGGUCUAAUACCGGCUAGGACACAUUUUUUGUUUUCUGGUUGGAAAGUAUUUUCGGUGUAGGGGGAGCCCGCGGCCUAUCAAGUUGUUGGUGGGGUAAUGGCCGACCAAGGCGGCGACGGGUAGCCGGCCUGGGGGGGGGGACGGCCACAAUGAGACUGAGAAGCUGCCCAGACUCCUACGGGAGGCAGCAGUGGUGAAUAUUGCACAAUGGGCGCAAGCCUGAUGCAGCGACGCCGCGGGGGGGAUGACGGACUUCGGGUUGUAAAAUCCUUUCGCUAGGGACGAAGCAUUUUGUGACGGUACCUAGAUAAGAAGCGCCGGCUAACUACGUG
RNAcentral lists this ribosomal RNA (465 nucleotides) under uncultured bacterium. Its description in RNAcentral is "partial 16S ribosomal RNA". It matches the Rfam family "Bacterial small subunit ribosomal RNA", at positions 28 to 507 of the family's 1533-position model. The record is from RNAcentral.